Molecule: ribosomal RNA, 253 nt
Filed under: uncultured bacterium
Lineage: Bacteria
Description: partial 16S ribosomal RNA
Rfam family: Bacterial small subunit ribosomal RNA
Source: RNAcentral
UACGAAGGGGGCGAGCGUUGUUCGGAUUUACUGGGCGUAAAGGGCGCGUAGGCGGCCUGUUAAGUCGGACGUGAAAUCCCUCGGCUCAACCGGGGAACUGCGUCCGAUACUGGCGGGCUUGAAUUCGGGAGAGGGAUGUGGAAUUCCAGGUGUAGCGGUGAAAUGCGUAGAUAUCUGGAGGAACACCGGUGGCGAAGGCGGCAUCCUGGACCGACAUUGACGCUGAGGCGCGAAAGCCAGGGGAGCAAACGGG